RNAcentral lists this ribosomal RNA (468 nucleotides) under uncultured bacterium. RNAcentral's name for it is "partial 16S ribosomal RNA". It matches the Rfam family "Bacterial small subunit ribosomal RNA", at positions 28 to 507 of the family's 1533-position model. The record is from RNAcentral.
GACGAACGCUGGCGGCGUGCUUAACACAUGCAAGUCGAACGGAAAGGCCCGGCUCUUGUGGGGUGCUUGAGUGGCGAACGGGUGAGUAACACGCGAGUAACCUGCCCCUGACUUUGGGAUAACUUCAGGAAACUGGGGCUAAUACCGGAUAUGAGCUCCUGCUGCAUGGUGGGGGUUGGAAAGUUUCGGCGGUUGGGGAUGGACUCGCGGGUUAUCAGCUGGUUGGUCGGGUAGUGGCUUACCAAGGCUUUGACGGAUAGCCGGCCUGAGAGGGUGACCGGCCACCAUGGUACUGAGGUACGGCCCAGACGCGUACGGGAGGCAGCAGUGGAGAAUAUUGCAGAAUGGGCGGAAGCCUGUUACAGAGGCGCCGCGUGCGGGAUGACGGCCUUCGAGUUGUAAACCGCUUUCGCCUGUGACGAAGCGUGAGUGACGGUAAUGGAUAAAGAAGCACCGGCUAACUACGUG